GGGGAUGUAGCUCAGAUGGUAGAGCGCUCGCUUAGCAUGCGAGAGAUACUGGGAUCGAUAAUUUUUCUCCAUUUUUCUCCA
RNAcentral lists this transfer RNA (81 nucleotides) under Cordylochernes scorpioides. RNAcentral describes it as "tRNA-Ala". The stretch from base 1 to 71 matches the Rfam family "tRNA". From Rfam's summary of the family: Transfer RNA (tRNA) molecules are approximately 80 nucleotides in length. Lineage: Eukaryota; Metazoa; Arthropoda; Arachnida; Pseudoscorpiones; Chernetidae. The record is from RNAcentral.